This 836-nucleotide ribosomal RNA is filed under the name Acinetobacter johnsonii. Its description in RNAcentral is "bacterial SSU rRNA". It matches the Rfam family "Bacterial small subunit ribosomal RNA", at positions 588 to 1422 of the family's 1533-position model. The record is from RNAcentral. Lineage: Bacteria; Pseudomonadati; Pseudomonadota; Gammaproteobacteria; Moraxellales; Moraxellaceae.
UUGGAAUGAAAUUCCUGUAGUUUAACUUAGGACUUUCAUCCGAUACUGGAAAGCUAGUGUGUGGGAGAGGAUAGUAGACUACCAGGCGUAGCGGUGAAAUGCGUAGAGAUCUUGAGGGAAUACCGAUGGGCGAAGGCAGCCAUGUGGCUAAUACUGACGUUGAGGUACGAAAGCAUGGGGAGCAAACAGGAUUAGAUACCCUGGUAGUCCAUGCCGUAAACGAUGUGUACUAGCCGUUGGGGCCUUUGAGGCUUUAGUGGCGCAGCUAACGCGAUAAGUAGACCGCCUGGGGAGUACGGUCGCAAGACUAAAACUCAAAUGAAUUGACGGGGGCCCGCACAAGCGGUGGAGCAUGUGGUUUAAUUCGAUGCAACGCGAAGAACCUUACCUGGCCUUGACAUACUAAGAACUUUCCAGAGAUGGAUUGGUGCCUUCGGGAACUUAGAUACAGGUGCUGCAUGGCUGUCGUCAGCUCGUGUCGUGAGAUGUUGGGUUAAGUCCCGCAACGAGCGCAACCCUUUUCCUUAUUUGCCAUCGGGUAAUGCCGGGAACUUUAAGGAUACUGCCAGUGACAAACUGGAGGAAGGCGGGGACGACGUCAAGUCAUCAUGGCCCUUACGGCCAGGGCUACACACGUGCUACAAUGGUCGGUACAAAGGGUUGCUACCUCGCGAGAGGAUGCUAAUCUCAAAAAGCCGAUCGUAGUCCGGAUCGCAGUCUGCAACUCGACUGCGUGAAGUCGGAAUCGCUAGUAAUCGCGGAUCAGAAUGCCGCGGUGAAUACGUUCCCGGGCCUUGUACACACCGCCCGUCACACCAUGGGAGUUUGUUGCACCA